RNAcentral lists this ribosomal RNA (253 nucleotides) under uncultured bacterium. RNAcentral's name for it is "partial 16S ribosomal RNA". It matches the Rfam family "Bacterial small subunit ribosomal RNA", at positions 524 to 776 of the family's 1533-position model. The record is from RNAcentral.
UACGUAGGGUGCAAGCGUUAAUCGGAAUUACUGGGCGUAAAGCGUGCGCAGGCGGUUCGCUAAGACAGAUGUGAAAUCCCCGGGCUUAACCUGGGAACUGCGUUUGAAACUGGAAGGCUUGAGUGUGGCAGAGGGGGGUGGAAUUCCACGUGUAGCAGUGAAAUGCGUAGAGAUGUGGAGGAACACCGAUGGCGAAGGCAGCCCUCUGGACGGAUACUGACGUUGAGACGCGAAAGCGUGGGGAGCAAACGGG